ACAGGCCUAACACAUGCAAGUCGAACGCCCUCUUCGGAGGGAGUGGCAGACGGGUGAGUAACACGUGGGAAUCUACCUAUCGGUAAGGAACAACACAUAGAAAUGUGUGCUAAUACCUUAUACGUCCUCAGGGAGAAAGAUUUAUCGCCGAUAGAUGAGCCCGCGUUUGAUUAGCUAGUUGGUGAGGUAAUGGCUCACCAAGGCGACGAUCAAUAGCUGGUCUGAGAGGAUGAUCAGCCACACUGGGACUGAGACACGGCCCAGACUCCUACGGGAGGCAGCAGUGGGGAAUAUUGGACAAUGGGCGCAAGCCUGAUCCAGCCAUGCCGCGUGAGUGAUGAAGGCCCUAGGGUUGUAAAGCUCUUUCAACGGUGAAGAUAAUGACGGUAACCGUAGAAGAAGCCCCGGCUAACUUCGUGCCAGCAGCCGCGGUAAUACGAAGGGGGCUAGCGUUGUUCGGAAUAACUGGGCGUAAAGCGCACGUAGGCGGAUUGGAAAGUUAGAGGUGAAAUCCCGGGGCUCAACCCCGGAACUGCCUUUAAAACUAUCAGUCUAGAGGUCGAGAGAGGUGAGUGGAAUUCCGAGUGUAGAGGUGAAAUUCGUAGAUAUUCGGAGGAACACCAGUGCGAAGGCGGCUCACUGACUCGAUA
This 650-nucleotide ribosomal RNA is filed under the name uncultured bacterium. RNAcentral describes it as "bacterial SSU rRNA". It matches the Rfam family "Bacterial small subunit ribosomal RNA", at positions 42 to 739 of the family's 1533-position model. The record is from RNAcentral.